RNAcentral lists this unclassified non-coding RNA (241 nucleotides) under plant metagenome. RNAcentral's name for it is "partial contains small subunit ribosomal RNA, internal transcribed spacer 1, and 5.8S ribosomal RNA". The record is from RNAcentral.
UUUCCGUAGGUGAACCUGCGGAAGGAUCAUUAUUGAAUGAAACACUUCUGGCUUUAUGCUGUUGUGCUGGCCCUUUGGGCAAUGUGCACACGGCUCUGGUCACUUGUUUCUUCUGUUCCACCUGUGCACUGCCUGUAGACACGCUGUGUCUAUGAUAUUUGUUAACACACAACAAUGUUAGUUGGCAUGUUAUAUAUAAUAAUAAAAUAUACAACUUUCAACAACGGAUCUCUUGGUUCUG